AGGACUCUAUUCAUAGGAGAAAUCUCUGAAUUUUAGACUUUAUUUUUGGAUGGGCAUAAAAGAAAAUGUGGCAAAAUAGGAAGCUCACUCCAUAUUUUCUUCACUAGUGUCCACCCCAUAUGAUUUUUGUUUGCCUUACUCGCACUGAAUUGAUGGGUCGGGCCCAGGUCUUUAAUUCUUGUGCUGGAUCAGGCUCGGACUGGCAAAAUUCUAUCGAUAUCAGACUCUAGCCUGGUUCGGCAAUUGCUCCAGUUUAAGCUAGGAAAAUUUUCUUUCAGGUAUGAUGAACUAAAACUUACAGACAAUUAGGUGGUAGGAUGAAGAAGAAACA
RNAcentral lists this long non-coding RNA (331 nucleotides) under Elaeis guineensis (African oil palm). RNAcentral's name for it is "long non-coding RNA (EGUI_LNC004824)". The record is from RNAcentral. Lineage: Eukaryota; Viridiplantae; Streptophyta; Magnoliopsida; Arecales; Arecaceae.